Long non-coding RNA from Bactrocera latifrons, 176 nucleotides. RefSeq lists it as uncharacterized. Lineage: Eukaryota; Metazoa; Arthropoda; Insecta; Diptera; Tephritidae. The transcript is spliced from 2 exons. The record is from RefSeq and is a predicted model, not a curated record.
GCAACAUACACUGUGUGCUAAAAGUGUGCGUCGAUAAGCGUGUUUAUUUAAUACCAACCGCAGUGGAUUUUGUUUUUGUCAAGAUAGCGUGUGAUAGUGCGACGUGCCAAAAAUCUUAAAAAAAUUCAAAAAACAGCUAAAAAUAAUAGCUAAUAACUAAAAAAGCAAAAAAAAAA